CCUACGGGAGGCAGCAGUGGGGAAUAUUGCACAAUGGGCGAAAGCCUGAUGCAGCAACGCCGCGUGAGCGAUGAAGGCCUUCGGGUCGUAAAGCUCUGUCCUAUGGGAAGAUAAUGACGGUACCAUAGGAGGAAGCCCCGGCUAACUACGUGCCAGCAGCCGCGGUAAUACGUAGGGGGCAAGCGUUAUCCGGAAUUACUGGGCGUAAAGGGUGCGUAGGCGGUUUAUCAAGUCAGGGGUGAAAGGCUACGGCUCAACCGUAGUGAGCCUCUGAAACUGGUGAACUUGAGUGUAGGAGAGGAAAGUGGAAUUCCCAGUGUAGCGGUGAAAUGUGUAGAUAUUGGGAGGAACACCAGUGGCGAAGGCGACUUUCUGGACUACAACUGACGCUGAGGCACGAAAGCGUGGGGAGCAAACAGGAUUAGAUACCCUGGUAGUCCACGCUGUAAACAAUGAGUACUAGGUGUCGGCUGUCAAAGGUCGGUGCCGGCGUUAACACAUUAAGUACUCCGCCUGGGGAGUACGCUCGCAAGA
Molecule: ribosomal RNA, 534 nt
Filed under: uncultured bacterium
Lineage: Bacteria
Description: bacterial SSU rRNA
Rfam family: Bacterial small subunit ribosomal RNA
Source: RNAcentral